UGGGGAAUUUUGGACAAUGGGCGCAAGCCUGAUCCAGCCAUGCCGCGUGCGGGAAGAAGGCCUUCGGUUGUAAACCGCUUUUGUCAGGGAAGAAAUCUUCUGAGUUAAUACCUCGGGAGGAUGACGGUACCUGAAGAAUAAGCACCGGCUAACUACGUGCCAGCAGCCGCGGUAAUACGUAGGGUGCAAGCGUUAAUCGGAAUUACUGGGCGUAAAGCGUGCGCAGGCGGUUUUGUAAGACAGAGGUGAAAUCCCCGGGCUCAACCUUGGGAACUGCCUUUGUGACUGCAAGGCUUGAGUGCGGCAGAGGGGGGAUGGAAUUCCGCGUGUAGCAGUGAAAAUGCGUAGAUAUGCGGAGGAAACACCGAUGGCGAAGGCAAUCCCCCUGGGGCCUGCACUGACGCUCAUGCACGAAAAGCGUGGGGAGCAAAACAGGAUUAGAUACCCUGGU
This 451-nucleotide ribosomal RNA is filed under the name uncultured bacterium. Its description in RNAcentral is "partial 16S ribosomal RNA". It matches the Rfam family "Bacterial small subunit ribosomal RNA", at positions 355 to 791 of the family's 1533-position model. The record is from RNAcentral.